GGAGGAUCUCAGCUGGAGCAGAGAGGGGAGAGGCAUACAGAGAGAAGAGCGUGUGUUGUGUGGAUGUACUCGCCUGCCUCCCUGACUGACUGACUGUGUGUGUGUGUGUUUGUGUGUGACAGACAGACAGAGAGAGAGAGAGACAGGGGAGAACGCGUGGAUACUACUCCACAGGACUGGAUGUGUUUGGCAUCACGGACGACCACACACACACAAAAACAGAGAUCGGGGCAGACGCAAACUGCUGACUGAACUGCAGGCAGACACCGGGACAGAGUGCGGAGGAGUAAGCAGACAAGGCAGAGGACACGAGACCUGACUGACAGCGCCCAUGGCGAGCAAUAACACGGCCAGCAUUGCACAAGCCAGGAAGCUGGUGGAACAGCUGAAGAUGGAAGCCAACAUCGACAGGAUAAAGGUGAGCAG
Long non-coding RNA from Morone saxatilis (striped sea-bass), 426 nucleotides. RefSeq lists it as uncharacterized. The record is from RefSeq and is a predicted model, not a curated record. Lineage: Eukaryota; Metazoa; Chordata; Actinopteri; Moronidae. The transcript has 3 exons.